AGGAUGAACGCUGGCGGCGUGCUUAACACAUGCAAGUCGAACGAUGAAGGCUGGAGCUUGCUCUGGCUGGAUUAGUGGCGAACGGGUGAGUAACACGUGAGUAACCUGCCCCAGACUCUGGGAUAAGCGCUGGAAACGGCGUCUAAUACCGGAUACGAGCUUCCACCGCAUGGUGAGGAGCUGGAAAAGUAAUUUCGGUCUGGGAUGGACUCGCGGCCUAUCAGCUUGUUGGUGAGGUAAUGGCUCACCAAGGCGACGACGGGUAGCCGGCCUGAGAGGGUGACCGGCACGACGUGGACUGAGACACGGCCCAGACUCCGUACGGGAGGCAGCGAGGUGGGGAAUAGUUGCACAAGUGGGCGCGAAGCCU
This 370-nucleotide ribosomal RNA is filed under the name uncultured soil bacterium. RNAcentral describes it as "bacterial SSU rRNA". It matches the Rfam family "Bacterial small subunit ribosomal RNA", at positions 26 to 384 of the family's 1533-position model. The record is from RNAcentral.